GGACUACCGGGGUAUCUAAUCCCGUUCGCUCCCCUAGCUUUCGCGCCUCAGCGUCAGAAGAGGUCCAGCACGUCGCUUUCGCCACCGGCGUUCCUUCCGAUAUCAACGCAUUUCACCGCUCCACCGGAAGUUCCACAUGCCCCUACCUCCCUCCAGACCAUCAGUAUCAAAGGCAGUUUUCCGGUUGAGCCGAAAGAUUUCACCUCUGACUUGAUGGCCCGCCUACGCGCCCUUUAAGCCCAGUGAUUCCGAACAACGUUUGCACGGUUCGUCUUACCGCGGCUGCUGGCAC
RNAcentral lists this ribosomal RNA (292 nucleotides) under uncultured Planctomycetota bacterium. Its description in RNAcentral is "uncultured planctomycete partial 16S ribosomal RNA". The record is from RNAcentral. Lineage: Bacteria; Pseudomonadati; Planctomycetota.